CGCGGAGUGGAGCAGUUGGUAGCUCGUUGGGCUCAUAACCCAAAGGUCGCUCGUUCGAGUCGAGCCUCCGCAA
RNAcentral lists this transfer RNA (73 nucleotides) under Mediterranea sp. (in: CFB group bacteria). RNAcentral describes it as "Mediterranea sp. tRNA-Met". It matches the Rfam family "tRNA". From Rfam's summary of the family: Transfer RNA (tRNA) molecules are approximately 80 nucleotides in length. Their secondary structure includes four short double-helical elements and three loops (D, anti-codon, and T loops). The record is from RNAcentral. Lineage: Bacteria; Pseudomonadati; Bacteroidota; Bacteroidia; Bacteroidales; Bacteroidaceae. RNAcentral also lists the same sequence under 1 other name.